CUCUGUUGCCCAGGCUGGAGUGCAGUGGCAUAAUCACAGCUCACUGCAGCCUUGACCUUCUGGGCUCAAGUGAUCUUCCCACCUCUCAGCCUCCUGAGUAGCUGGGACUA
This 110-nucleotide small nucleolar RNA is filed under the name Homo sapiens (human). RNAcentral describes it as "H/ACA box". Lineage: Eukaryota; Metazoa; Chordata; Mammalia; Primates; Hominidae. The record is from RNAcentral.